Choloepus didactylus (southern two-toed sloth) is the source of this 210-nucleotide long non-coding RNA. RefSeq lists it as uncharacterized. The record is from RefSeq and is a predicted model, not a curated record. The transcript is spliced from 3 exons. Lineage: Eukaryota; Metazoa; Chordata; Mammalia; Pilosa; Megalonychidae.
CUUGCUUGUCAAUGUCAAGGGUUUGCUGUUUUCGAAGAGUUCAGCAAUCUCAACUUCGGCUGCUGGCCAAUAAUGCCACCUUGGGCACAUCUCCACGAGGAACAACCAGGGAUCCUGAGAAUCCAUACUCACUGAGAUCUAUCCUUGCUGACUCCUGCCUGAGGGCGGAAAAUGAGAUUCAGCGGGAAGAGGCUUUCUCUUGUUCUAGGC